CGGGGUGUAGUAUACCGGUAGUACGUGCGCUUCGGGUGCGCAAAGACGGAGUUCAAUUCUCCGCACCCCGACCA
This 74-nucleotide transfer RNA is filed under the name Candidatus Giovannonibacteria bacterium GWA2_45_15. RNAcentral describes it as "tRNA-Pro". It matches the Rfam family "tRNA". From Rfam's summary of the family: Transfer RNA (tRNA) molecules are approximately 80 nucleotides in length. Their secondary structure includes four short double-helical elements and three loops (D, anti-codon, and T loops). Further hydrogen bonds mediate the characteristic L-shaped molecular structure. tRNAs have two regions of fundamental functional importance: the anti-codon, which is responsible for specific mRNA codon recognition, and the 3' end, to which the tRNAs corresponding amino acid is attached (by aminoacyl-tRNA synthetases). tRNAs cope with the degeneracy of the genetic code in two manners: having more than one tRNA (with a specific anti-codon) for a particular amino acid; and 'wobble' base-pairing, i.e. permitting non-standard base-pairing at the 3rd anti-codon position. RNAcentral also lists the same sequence under 10 other names. The record is from RNAcentral. Lineage: Bacteria; Candidatus Giovannoniibacteriota.